This 214-nucleotide ribosomal RNA is filed under the name uncultured Bacillus sp. Its description in RNAcentral is "partial 16S ribosomal RNA". It matches the Rfam family "Bacterial small subunit ribosomal RNA", at positions 325 to 529 of the family's 1533-position model. The record is from RNAcentral. Lineage: Bacteria; Bacillati; Bacillota; Bacilli; Caryophanales; Bacillaceae.
UUCGUGAUUCGAUCCUACGGGAGGCAGCAGUAGGGAAUCUUCCGCAAUGGACGAAAGUCUGACGGAGCAACGCGCGUGAGUGAUGAAGGUUUUCGGAUCGUAAAGCUCUGUUGUUAGGGAAGAACAAGUACCGUUCGAAUAGGGCGUACCUUGACGGUACCUAACCAGAAAGCCACGGCUAACUACGUGCCAGCAGCCGCGGUAAUAUCACCCG